RNAcentral lists this ribosomal RNA (2919 nucleotides) under Lactobacillus acidophilus. RNAcentral's name for it is "bacterial LSU rRNA". It matches the Rfam family "Bacterial large subunit ribosomal RNA". RNAcentral also lists the same sequence under 5 other names. The record is from RNAcentral. Lineage: Bacteria; Bacillati; Bacillota; Bacilli; Lactobacillales; Lactobacillaceae.
UUAAGUUAACAAGGGCGCAUGGUGAAUGCCUUGGCACUAGGAGCCGAUGAAGGACGGGACUAACACCGAUAUGCUUCGGGGAGCUGUACGUAAGCUAUGAUCCGGAGAUUUCCGAAUGGGGCAACCCAGCAGUUUUAAUCAACUGUUACCACUAGAUGAAUUCAUAGUCUAGUUGGAGGUAAACGCUGUGAACUGAAACAUCUCAUUAGCAGCAGGAAUAUAAAGAAAUUUCGAUUCCCUAAGUAGCGGCGAGCGAACGGGGAACAGCCCAAACCAAAGUGCUUGCACUUUGGGGUUGUAGGACUGAACAUUUGAGUUACCAAAGAACUUGAUAGUCGAAGGAUUUGGGAAAAUCCGCCAUAGAUGGUGAUAGCCCAGUAGAUUAAAUCAAAUUCUCUCAGUUCAGGAUCCUGAGUACGGCGGAACACGUGAAAUUCCGUCGGAAUCCGGGAGGACCAUCUCCCAAGGCUAAAUACUACCUAGUGACCGAUAGUGAACCAGUACCGUGAGGGAAAGGUGAAAAGCACCCCGGGAGGGGAGUGAAAUAGUUCCUGAAACCAUGUGCCUACAAUAAGUCAGAGCGCGUUAAUGCGUGAUGGCGUGCCUUUUGUAGAAUGAACCGGCGAGUUAUGAUCCCGUGCAAGGUUAAGACUAAAAAGUCGGAGCCGUAGCGAAAGCGAGUCUGAAAUGGGCGUUUUGAGUACGAGGUUAUAGACCCGAAACCAGGUGACCUAUCCAUGUCCAGGUUGAAGGUGCGGUAAAACGCACUGGAGGACCGAACCCGUGUAAGUUGAAAAUUGCUGGGAUGAGGUGUGGAUAGCGGUGAAAUUCCAAACGAACUUGGAGAUAGCUGGUUCUCUCCGAAAUAGCUUUAGGGCUAGCCUCGGAAUUAGGAUCAUGGAGGUAGAGCACUAUUUGGACUAGGGGCCCGUCUUGGGUUACUGAAUUCAGAUAAACUCCGAAUGCCAUUGAUUCAUAUCCGGGAGUCAGACGAUGAGUGAUAAGAUCCACCGUCGAAAGGGGAACAGCCCAGACCAUCAGUUAAGGUCCCUAAAUGUAUGCUAAGUGGAAAAGGAUGUGGAGUUGCAUAGACAACUAGGAUGUUGGCUCAGAAGCAGCCACCAUUUAAAGAGUGCGUAAUAGCUCACUAGUCGAGUGAUCCUGCGCCGAAAAUGUACCGGGGCUAAGCAUACUACCGAAACCAUGGAUGCGACCAUUAGGUCGCGUGAUAGGAGAGCGUUCUAAGGGCGGUGAAGCAAGAUCGUGAGGACUUGUGGAGCGCUUAGAAGUGAGAAUGCCGGUAUGAGUAGCGAAAGAUAGGUGAGAAUCCUAUCCACCGAAUGACUAAGGUUUCCUGGGGAAGGCUCGUCCUCCCAGGGUUAGUCGGGACCUAAGUCGAGGCCGAGAGGCGUAGACGAUGGAUAACAGGUUGAGAUUCCUGUACUAGUUAAGUGCGUUUGAGCAAUGGAGGGACGCAGGAGGCUAAGAUGUGCAUUCUGUUGGAUUAGAAUGUCCAAGCAGUAAGUCUUGUGAAGAGUCAAAUGCUUUUCACUUUAAGGACAAGCUGUGAUGGGGAGCGAAAUUUAGUAGCGAAGCGUCUGAUGUCACACUGCCGAGAAAAGCUUCUAGUGAGUACUUAACUACCCGUACCGCAAACCGACACAGGUAGUCGAGGAGAGAAUCCUAAGGUGAGCGAGUGAACUCUCGUUAAGGAACUCGGCAAAAUGACCCCGUAACUUCGGGAGAAGGGGUGCUGAUCGCAAGAUCAGCCGCAGUGAAUAGGCCCAGGCGACUGUUUAUCAAAAACACAGGUCUCUGCAAAAUCGUAAGAUGACGUAUAGGGGCUGACGCCUGCCCGGUGCUGGAAGGUUAAAAGGAUGGGUUAGCUUCGGCGAAGCUCAGAAUUGAAGCCCCAGUAAACGGCGGCCGUAACUAUAACGGUCCUAAGGUAGCGAAAUUCCUUGUCGGGUAAGUUCCGACCCGCACGAAAGGCGUAACGAUCUGGGCACUGUCUCAACGAGAGACUCGGUGAAAUUAUAUUGUCCGUGAAGAUGCGGACUACCCGCGACAGGACGGAAAGACCCCAUGGAGCUUUACUGUAGCUUGAUAUUGAGUGUUUGUACAGCUUGUACAGGAUAGGUAGGAGCCAUAGAAACCGGAACGCUAGUUUCGGUGGAGGCGUUGGUGGGAUACUACCCUCGCUGUAUGACCACUCUAACCCGCACCACUAAUCGUGGUGGGAGACAGUGUCAGGUGGGCAGUUUGACUGGGGCGGUCGCCUCCUAAAAAGUAACGGAGGCGCCCAAAGGUUCCCUCAGAAUGGUUGGAAAUCAUUCGCAGAGUGUAAAGGCACAAGGGAGCUUGACUGCGAGACAGACAGGUCGAGCAGGGACGAAAGUCGGGCUUAGUGAUCCGGUGGUACCGUAUGGAAGGGCCAUCGCUCAACGGAUAAAAGCUACCCUGGGGAUAACAGGCUUAUCUCCCCCAAGAGUCCACAUCGACGGGGAGGUUUGGCACCUCGAUGUCGGCUCAUCGCAUCCUGGGGCUGUAGUCGGUCCCAAGGGUUGGGCUGUUCGCCCAUUAAAGCGGUACGCGAGCUGGGUUCAGAACGUCGUGAGACAGUUCGGUCCCUAUCCGUCGCGGGCGUAGGAAAUUUGAGAGGACCUGUCCUUAGUACGAGAGGACCGGGAUGGACAUACCUCUGGUGUACCAGUUGUGCCGCCAGGCGCAUCGCUGGGUAGCUACGUAUGGAUGUGAUAAACGCUGAAAGCAUCUAAGUGUGAAACACACCUCGAGAUGAGAUUUCCCAUUCCUUUAUGGAAGUAAGACCCCUGAAAGAUGAUCAGGUAGAUAGGUUAGAAGUGGCAGUGCGGUGACGCAUGAAGCGGACUAAUACUAAUCGGUCGAGGACUUAACCAA